RNAcentral lists this ribosomal RNA (450 nucleotides) under uncultured bacterium. RNAcentral describes it as "bacterial SSU rRNA". It matches the Rfam family "Bacterial small subunit ribosomal RNA", at positions 330 to 795 of the family's 1533-position model. The record is from RNAcentral.
ACCAGACUCCUACGGGAGGCAGCAGUGGGGAAUAUUGGGCAAUGGGCGCAAGCCUGACCCAGCAACGCCGCGUGAAGGAAGAAGGCUUUCGGGUUGUAAACUUCUUUUCUCAGGGACGAAUAGAUGACGGUACCUGAGGAAUAAGCCACGGUUAACUACGUGCCAGCAGCCGCGGUAAUACGUAGGUGGCAAGCGUUAUCCGGAUUUACUGGGUGUAAAGGGCGUGUAGGCGGGGACGCAAGUCAGAUGUGAAAACCACGGGCUCAACCUGUGGCCUGCAUUUGAAACUGUGUUUCUUGAGUACUGGAGAGGCAGACGGAAUUCCUAGUGUAGCGGUGAAAUGCGUAGAUAUUAGGAGGAACGCCAGUGGCGAAGGCGGUCUGCUGGACAGCAACUGACGCUGAGGCGCGAAAGCGUGGGGAGCAAACAGGAUUAGAUACCCCUGUAUUA